This 447-nucleotide ribosomal RNA is filed under the name uncultured bacterium. Its description in RNAcentral is "bacterial SSU rRNA". It matches the Rfam family "Bacterial small subunit ribosomal RNA", at positions 329 to 793 of the family's 1533-position model. The record is from RNAcentral.
GCCCAGACUCCUACGGGAGGCAGCAGUGGGGAAUAUUGCACAAUGGGAGAAGCCCUGAUGCAGCGACGCCGCGUGAGUGAAGAAGUAUUUCGGUAUGUAAAGCUCUCUCAGCAGGGAAGAUAAUGACGGUACCUGAGUAAGAAGCCCCGGCUAACUACGUGCCAGCAGCCGCGGUAAUACGUAGGGGGCAAGCGUUAUCCGGAUUUACUGGGUGUAAAGGGAGCGUAGACGGCAUGGCAAGUCUGAAGUGAAAGCCCGGGGCUCAACCGCGGGACUGCUUUGGAAACUGUUAAGCUGGAGUGCAGGGGAGGUAAGUGGAAUUCCUAGUGUAGCGGUGAAAUGCGUAGAUAUUAGGAGGAACACCAGUGGCGAAGGCGGCUUACUGGACUGUAACUGACGUUGAGGCUCGAAAGCGUGGGGAGCAAACAGGAUUAGAUACCCGCGUAU